RNAcentral lists this long non-coding RNA (955 nucleotides) under Gossypium barbadense (sea-island cotton). RNAcentral describes it as "long non-coding RNA (GBAR_LNC013425)". Lineage: Eukaryota; Viridiplantae; Streptophyta; Magnoliopsida; Malvales; Malvaceae. The record is from RNAcentral.
AAUAAGCCAUCAUAGAGACGUAUUUAAGCACAAUUCAGUAUACAAAUUUAUUCAUUAAACAUAACAAAAAAAGAUCAGAAACCAUACCAAUCACUAAACUAUUAAAAAACAAACCAUUAAACAGAGUCAUGUAUUUAAGCACGGCUCAGUAUAGGAAAAUUAUUCAUCGAACAUAAUAAAAAAAAGUCAGAAACCACACCAACUAUUAAACAUAACAGAAAAGAAGUUGGAAAUCAUACAAACCAUUAAACAUAGCAGUAAACAUAUUGAGUGUUGCAACCAAUAAAACAUCAAACAAGGGCAAAACAAGUGACAGUGAACUUCAAAAAAGCCAACAAUAUACAAAUUAAAUGUUUUGCGUAUAAAUAGUUAAACAUGAUUAAAUAAGCAUUUCCAUUCAUUAAUAAACAUCUCUUCCAACUUGCCCUGCAUUAAACAAAAAUUUUGCAAGUUAGUGAACAUCAAGGAAUUGUAAUAAUUGAUUAUACAAAUUCAAAUAGCAACUUCAUACUUUCUGCAUAUCACUGAUGACUCUGAAGUCUUGCCCUUCUCUUAGUCCAAGAUUAAUCUUGCAGUUAUUAAGGAACCAAGCCCAAGUCUCUGUUCUCACCCUCCAUAACUGUCCAAACUAAUGAAAAUAUCUGGUUUUUUUCCAUCUUUCCCAACAGCAGCGAGUAUUUUCCCCUUGAGUGACCCCAAGCAAUAGAUCAUCUACCCCAACAGCUUGUUCUUCACUUUCUCCCUAAAUGUUUCAAACUUCUUAAAUAUGCUCCUUAUCUCUUCAUCCUCAUCAUCCAACAUCCAAACCAAGACAAAGUAAUAUUCAGAUAUCUCUUCUAAGUCUAUCUCUACUUCAUUAUCUACCCUAUGUGCCCCAUUAACAUCAUGACUAUUUCUUCUUUUGCCCCACUCUCCUCUCUAACCCUAUUUGACCAUUAAUACCAUUGGUCUCAUU